This is a long non-coding RNA of Myotis brandtii (Brandt's bat), 98 nucleotides long. RefSeq lists it as uncharacterized. The record is from RefSeq and is a predicted model, not a curated record. NCBI's taxonomy places the organism in Eukaryota, Metazoa, Chordata, Mammalia, Chiroptera, Vespertilionidae. The transcript has 3 exons.
AAAAUAUAUAUUUUUUAAAAAAAUAAUAAUUUACAGGGGAUCAACAGUAGAGGAUGCCAAAAUCAAAUCAAGAGUUUGGUAUAUAAGGAAGCAAAAAA